AACGUAGGAGACGAGCGUUAUUCGGAUUUACUGGGCGUAAAGCGCGUGCAGGCGGUACGGAAAGUUGGAUGUGAAAGCUCCCGGCUUAACUGGGAGAGGUCGUUCAAAACUACCGAACUAGAGUGUGGGAGAGGGAGGCGGAAUUCCGGGUGUAGUGGUGAAAUGCGUAGAUAUCCGGAGGAACACCAGAGGCGAAAGCGGCCUCCUGGUCCACAACUGACGCUCAGACGCGAAAGCUAGGGUAGCAAACGGGAUUAGAGACCCCGGUAGUCCUAGCCGUAAACGAUGUAGACUUGGCGUCGGAGGGUUCAAAUCCUGCGGUGCCGCAGCAAACGCGAUAAGUCUACCGCCUGGGGACUACGGCCGCAAGGUUAAA
This 376-nucleotide ribosomal RNA is filed under the name uncultured bacterium. RNAcentral's name for it is "bacterial SSU rRNA". It matches the Rfam family "Bacterial small subunit ribosomal RNA", at positions 524 to 898 of the family's 1533-position model. The record is from RNAcentral.